Molecule: long non-coding RNA, 315 nt
Organism: Syngnathus acus (greater pipefish)
Lineage: Eukaryota; Metazoa; Chordata; Actinopteri; Syngnathiformes; Syngnathidae
Exons: 2
Source: RefSeq, a predicted model, not a curated record
CCCCCGAUGAACUCGUGAACGAUCUUGCAGUCGGCUGUCACGCAGCUGAAGGCAAUGUUGAUGUUACCCUCAAACUCUAUGGCCACCUGGGAGGUCUUCACCACGUCGCCCACACCCAAAUCGAUGCGGAUCAGACGGUUGGGAGCGAUGCCCAGUACCUCGUCUUUACGGCUUCCUUUGAACCUGUUAAGACACAAAAAAACUACAAUACUUAGCAGUUGUUGUGUCAAGCUCUUGUUGUUUGGACAGGUAUGGUAUGACAGUACUGCUGUAAUUUAAACAAUAAAAAGCUUGAAAACAAAUGUAUGACUGAAC